RNAcentral lists this transfer RNA (86 nucleotides) under Zea mays. It matches the Rfam family "tRNA". From Rfam's summary of the family: Transfer RNA (tRNA) molecules are approximately 80 nucleotides in length. Their secondary structure includes four short double-helical elements and three loops (D, anti-codon, and T loops). The record is from Rfam by way of RNAcentral. Lineage: Eukaryota; Viridiplantae; Streptophyta; Magnoliopsida; Poales; Poaceae.
CCGACCUUAGCUCAGUUGGUAGAGCGGAGGACUGUAGUGGUUGCAGAUCAAUCCUUAGGUCGCUGGUUCGAAUCCGGCAGGUCGGA